AUGCAGAUGGACUCCUACUACUUCCACGACGACGCCCACUUCUUCGCCGGCUGCGGCGUCCCCGGCUCGCCGGACCUGCCCUUCGCCGACCUCAUUGCGUCGCUCUCGGAGCCGCUGCCUGAGGUGGCCAGACAGAGCGCGUUCCGGGAGUACCGCGGCGUCGGGCUGGAGCUUCCGGGCACGGCGCGGGGCGGGACGGGGAACGGGAUCAACAUCCACCGGAGGAUGAUGGACGUGCUGGGCAGGAUGGGGCCGGCCACCGAGGAGGAGCAGCGGCCGCAGCACCAACAGCAGCAGGCGGCCGGCGCUGUCGAGAGCAGCCGCGGGUUCCGGCACAUGAUGCGCGAGCGCCAGCGCCGCGAGAAGCUCAGCCAGAGCUACGCCGACCUCCACGCCAUGGUCUCCUCCCGUUCCAAGGUACUUCGACCGUCCGCGCCCGCUGUCCUCCCACAUUCCAUUUCACUGGUGCUCGAAUGCCAUGUGCUGAAUGAACGAGUGAUGCCAUUGCAGCAGGACAAGAACUCGAUCGUGCAGUCCGCGGCCGUCUACAUCCACGAGCUCAAGGUCGCCAAGGAGCAGCUCCAGAGGAGGAACGACGAGCUCAAGGCCAAGAUCCUGGGGCACGACGCGCAGCAGCAGUGCGUCAAGGUCCAGUUCGAGGUGGACGAGCCCUCGUCCUCCAUCGACUCCAUGAUCGGGGCCCUCACGCGCCUCAAGAGCAUGAACGUCAAGACCAGGGGGAUCCACUCCAUCUUGUCCGGCCAGCGGUUGACGACGGAGAUGAAUGUCGAAACCACGAUUGCGGCUUGCGAGGUAGAAAAGGCAGUGGAGGAGGCUCUCCAGGAAGUAGAGAGGAAUCAGCUGCCUGACAGCGAGGCCCCGUUUCCCGGAAGCAGGAGCGCCUGGCCUCAAACAUCACACGUGCAAAAUGUGUUCUGA
This 939-nucleotide ribosomal RNA is filed under the name Triticum aestivum (bread wheat). RNAcentral's name for it is "partial small subunit ribosomal RNA". The record is from RNAcentral. Lineage: Eukaryota; Viridiplantae; Streptophyta; Magnoliopsida; Poales; Poaceae.